This 497-nucleotide ribosomal RNA is filed under the name uncultured bacterium. RNAcentral's name for it is "partial 16S ribosomal RNA". It matches the Rfam family "Bacterial small subunit ribosomal RNA", at positions 28 to 507 of the family's 1533-position model. The record is from RNAcentral.
GAUGAACGCUGGCGGCGUGCCUAAUACAUGCAAGUCGAGCGAACAGACGAGGAGCUUGCUCCUCUGACGUUAGCGGCGGACGGGUGAGUAACACGUGGAUAACCUACCUAUAAGACUGGGAUAACUUCGGGAAACCGGAGCUAAUACCGGAUAAUAUAUUGAACCGCAUGGUUCAAUAGUGAAAGACGGUUUUGCUGUCACUUAUAGAUGGAUCCGCGCCGCAUUAGCUAGUUGGUAAGGUAACGGCUUACCAAGGCAACGAUGCGUAGCUGACCUGAGAGGGUGAUCGGCCACACUGGAACUGAGACACGUUCCAGACUCCUACGGGAGGCAGCAGUAGGGAAUCUUCCGCAAUGGGCGAAAGCUUGACGGAGCAACGCCGCGUGAGUGAUGAAGGUCUUCGGAUCGUAAAACUCUGUUAUUAGGGAAGAACAAAUGUGUAAGUAACUAUGCACGUCUUGACGGUACCUAAUCAGAAAGCCACGGCUAACUACGUG